UGUAUGAAAGGACCAAAACGGCACCUGAAUGCUAACACACAGAUAUUAAGGGGACCUUUAACGAGGUAGAGAUGCUGACAGAAACCAACCCUGGGGAGAAGACGUUCCCUGUAUUUCUUUUCAACUUUAUAGGGCAGCGAGGGCCACAUAACUGAUGACUGUUUCCAUGAAGCUGAGAAACAAGUUUGGAUUCCCCAGCAUGAAUCUCCUCCCAGACACUGCUGCUCCCAUUAGCUGACUUUCUCAGCCUGAAGAUGUGAUGUUCCACUGGACCUCAGGCAAGGCCCCAAAUGCCAAGGCGCUGACUUGGAGAUGACUGGGGAGCAGGGACUGAGAAAGGACAAAUGCUC
Molecule: long non-coding RNA, 350 nt
Filed under: Pan troglodytes (chimpanzee)
Lineage: Eukaryota; Metazoa; Chordata; Mammalia; Primates; Hominidae
Description: long non-coding RNA NONPTRT003250
Source: RNAcentral